AGAGUUUGAUCAUGGCUCAGAUUGAACGCUGGCGGCGUGCCUAACACAUGCAAGUCGAGCGGUAACAGGUGUAGCAAUACAUGCUGACGAGCGGCGGACGGGUGAGCAAUAUUUGGGAAUCUGCCUAUUAGUGGGGGACAACCCGGGGAAACUCGGGCUAAUACCGCAUACGCACUACGGUGGAAAGCCGGGGACCGCAAGGCCUGGCGCUAAUAGAUGAGCCCAAAUCGGAUUAGCUAGUUGGUGAGGUAACGGCUCACCAAGGCGACGAUCCGUAGCUGGUCUGAGAGGACGACCAGCCACACCGGAACUGAGACACGGUCCGGACUCCUACGGGAGGCAGCAGUGGGGAAUAUUGGACAAUGGGCGAAAGCCUGAUCCAGCGACGCCGCGUGGGUGAAGAAGGCCUGCGGGUUGUAAAGCCCUUUCGGUGGGGAUAAAAAGCCUUGGUUUAACACACCAGGGUCUUGAUCUAACCCAAGAAAGAAGCACCGGCUAACUCUGUGCCAGCAGCCGCGGUAAUACAGAGGGUGCGAGCGUUAAUCGGAAUUACUGGGCGUAAAGCGCGCGUAGGUGGCUUGGCAAGUCGAGUGUGAAAUCCCCGGGCUUAACCUGGGAACUGCAUUCGAGACUGCUUUGCUAGAGUAUGGGAGAGGGAAGUGGAAUUUCCGGUGUAGCGGUGAAAUGCGUAGAUAUCGGAAGGAACAUCAGUGGCGAAGGCGACUUCCUGGACCAAUACUGACACUCAAGUGCGAAAGCGUGGGGAGCAAACAGGAUUAGAUACCCUAGUAGUCC
RNAcentral lists this ribosomal RNA (795 nucleotides) under uncultured bacterium. RNAcentral's name for it is "bacterial SSU rRNA". It matches the Rfam family "Bacterial small subunit ribosomal RNA", at positions 8 to 796 of the family's 1533-position model. The record is from RNAcentral.